UUACUUGUGAAGAGUCCCAGACUAGGACGAAAUAGCUGUCCAGUAG
RNAcentral lists this non-coding RNA (46 nucleotides) under Trichobilharzia regenti. The record is from RNAcentral. Lineage: Eukaryota; Metazoa; Platyhelminthes; Trematoda; Strigeidida; Schistosomatidae.